This 497-nucleotide ribosomal RNA is filed under the name uncultured bacterium. RNAcentral's name for it is "partial 16S ribosomal RNA". It matches the Rfam family "Bacterial small subunit ribosomal RNA", at positions 28 to 507 of the family's 1533-position model. The record is from RNAcentral.
GAUGAACGCUGGCGGCGUGCCUAAUACAUGCAAGUCGAGCGAACAGACGAGGAGCUUGCUCCUCUGACGUUAGCGGCGAACGGGUGAGUAACACGUGGAUAACCGACCUAUAAGACUGGGAUAACUUCGGGAAACCGGAGCUAAUACCGGAUAAUAUAUUGAACCGCAUGGUUCAAUAGUGAAAGACGGUUUUGCUGUCUACUAUAGAUGCAUCCGGGCUGCAUUAGCUAGUCGGUAAGGUAACGGCUUACCAAGGCAACGAUGCGUAGCCGACCUGAGAGGGUGAUCGGCCACACUGGAACUGAGACACGGUCCAGACUCCUACGGGAGGCAGCAGUAGGGAAUCUUCCGCAAUGGGCGAAAGCUUGACGGAGCAACGCCGCGGGAGUGAUGAAGGUCUUCGGAUCGUAAAACUCUGUUAUUAGGGAAGAACAAAUGUGUAAGUAACUAUGCACGUCUUGACGGUACCUAAUCAGAAAGCCACGGCUAACUACGUG